This 618-nucleotide long non-coding RNA is filed under the name Androctonus crassicauda. The record is from RNAcentral. Lineage: Eukaryota; Metazoa; Arthropoda; Arachnida; Scorpiones; Buthidae.
UAUCCUCCAUGAUAAUGCCAUCUUCCUUAUGGCUGAUGUCUGCAAUCUGCUCACAAGAUGGGAUUGUGAAAUGUUGUACUAUUUAUCAUAUUCUCCAGAUCUUAUCCCCAGUGACUUUUUGAUUUAUUUACUAAAUUCCAGGAAUCCCUAUGAAGCAUUAGUUCCCAUACAAUUUCUGACAUUAUGCCUGCAGUCCACCAUUCCAAUUGUGACACAGAUACAUUUGGGGCUGGUGAUGGCAUUAUGAAGCUACCAUAAUGAUGGAAAAAGAUUGUAGACAAGGCUGGAGGCUAAAUUGAGGGACUGGGUGCGUUUCGUUAUGCAGUGCUUCAUCAGCGCUGUACAGCUAUCUGUUUCUAAACUGACUGCUGCAGCAAAUCAAAAGCAUUUUUAAAUUCUCGCUGCAUAGCGCUGUUGUAGCACUCAUGAAGCGACUAUCUACCUUGCUGCACAUGUUAAUCAAGAUAGCGGAAUCGAAGGAAUAUUUUGAAGUUUUCCUAACUUCGCAAAAUGAAAAAAUAAAAGCGAUAGUAGAUAAAGAUACAAUGGAAAAAUUAAAUUCAGGUAAUUUUAUAAAUAUCUUUUGCCUAUUUACAAAUUUUUCUAAGUUUACUGCUG